AACAUGUCUGUUUGAAGAUAUAAAAAGUCCGACCUGCCCACUGAUGAUAUUUAAAGGGCCGCGGUAUACUGACCGUGCAAAGGUAGCAUAAUAGUUAGGUUUUUAAUUGAGAUCUUGUAUGAAUGGUUUGACAAAGAAAAACCUGUCUUUGUGUCCAACGAUUGAAAUUAACUUUUAAGUGAAAAGGCUUAAAUAAUUUGAGGGGACGAUAAGACCCUAUAAAACUUUAUAUAAAGUUCAUAUUCGAUUAAAUUUUAAUGUUAAUAAAAAUCGGAUGUUAGCUUUAUAUUCUGUUGGGGCGACAAAAAUAAAAUUGAUAGCAACUGUUUAAAUAAUUAGACAAAAAUAUUUGAUUAUAUAAUUAAAUGAUCCUAAUUAAAGAUUAAAAGUUUAAGUUACUUUAGGGAUAACAGCGUUAUUUUUUUUGAGAGUUCUUAUCGAAAAAAGAGUUUGCGACCUCGAUGUUGAAUUAAAAUUUCUAUACAAUUGCAGAAGUUGUAUAAGAAGGUCUGUUCGACCUUUAAAUUUUUACGUGAUCU
Molecule: ribosomal RNA, 539 nt
Filed under: Scopimera crabicauda
Lineage: Eukaryota; Metazoa; Arthropoda; Malacostraca; Decapoda; Dotillidae
Description: partial large subunit ribosomal RNA
Rfam family: Bacterial large subunit ribosomal RNA
Source: RNAcentral